This is a long non-coding RNA of Triticum aestivum (bread wheat), 2928 nucleotides long. RefSeq lists it as uncharacterized. The record is from RefSeq and is a predicted model, not a curated record. NCBI's taxonomy places the organism in Eukaryota, Viridiplantae, Streptophyta, Magnoliopsida, Poales, Poaceae. The transcript is spliced from 4 exons.
CAGAAGAAACCCGCCGCACCAAACCCUACCCAGAUCACUCACCUCUCCUCCCUUCCUCCCGCAGCCUCCCUCUCUCUCUCCCCGAUCCAGAUCGACGCCACCACCCCUCUCUAACACUACCUUCCCGUCGCCGGCGGCGGCGCCCUCCUUCCCUCGCCCUCUCCUCCUCCCCUCCUCCCCUCCUCAUGGGCGUCUCCACCAUGCCACGAAUCCCCGCGACCCACCCCAUCUUCGUGCCUGCCUCGGCAACCACCUCCGCCGCACGUCAGAGUCCCAUCCGUGUCCGCGCCGGCUCCGUCUCCAUCUCCUUUCAUGGGAGGUGACCCGCACCCGGCCCCGCGGCGGGGGAGGGGCGGCGGCGGCCUCUUGUAGAUCCCAUCGGGAUCCCGUCCGGAUCACGGCCAGCACAUUUGGGACGCCGAUACGAAGCUCGUCCGCCUCAACAGCACCAGCAGCGGCGGUGACGCUGACCGGCCCAAGGAGGAGCAGGGCAGCGGCAGGAAGGGCGCGCCCAAGUACCGGGUGGUGCUGGUCUGCAUGGUCGCCGCCGGCGUGCAGUUUGGCUGGGUGAUGCAGCUCUCCCUCCUCACCCCAUACAUCCAGAUCUCAAAGAAGCAGUAUCACUACGAUGGAUGCGGCAUCUGCAGAACUGGUGGCAUGGACAACUUCUUCCACUGUGAACUGGUGGCAUUGAUACUCUACUUAUCAAUGGAUCGAUAUAUUAGGACGGCUGCCUUUGCUCUGAUCGACAGGUCCAUGACAUCUCGCUGAACCACUACUGGAUGUGGCGUCGACGAAGCACUACACCUGGCUUGCUCGCCGGCGCGCGCGUGCGUGCUUCAAUGCACGGCGCUUCGUCGAGCUGGCCGGACCGCGGCAAUCGCCGGAGCCGGAGCCGGAGGAGGCGACAAGAUGCUGCUGCUGCGGCUGCGUCCUCGGAGGCAGCAGCUGCCCCUCGCCGACCUCACCAACCUCCGGCGUCCGCCAUGAGCUCCGCGCAGGACCCCUUCUACAUCGUCCGGGAGGAGAUCCAGGGCUGGGUAAUCCCCCCAUCCCCAUCUGCCCUCCCUCCCUCCCCUGUGCCCCUUUCUCUUCCUCUAGUUGCGAAUUUUGGUAUGCUGCCGCUGUUUAUUUGGCUGCGCCGUGGCGUACUGUCAGCUGAAAACUGCUUCUUUAUUUUCUACUCCAGUAUUGUAUGGAGUAGUAUAUAAGGACGUCUUACUGUAGUAUGGCUGAGGCAGUGACCAGCUUGGUAGUUAGUACUAGCUGAGAAAAUUCAUGAUGCUGGCUGGGAGCAAAAAAUUUAUAGGCUUAGUUGCUGUAUUGGUUCUGUUGUUGUAUGGGGAUAUAUGCAUAGAUAUGUAACGUGUGGGUUCCAAGCAUGCUUCCGAGAUUUUUUUUUAAAUUUUGUUGGCUCUUGCAACACUUGGAUUAUUCAUUAAUAUAACCCACCAGCGAUGCUUCCAUUUUAACACAUGUACUAGUGUGCUAAAACUACUACUGCACCUGCUUCUUCUUAGCCUGAGUAGUACAUCAGGCUUGUAUUAACUUGUGUUAAUUGUAUUAACUUGUAGCCUAGUCACUGCAGUCACCUUGUGCUUUUAUCUUCUCUGUGAUGUCAUUUGCCUUCGAGUCUACUUAUUGAAGACCUUAUGCUCGUAUAUCUUUUUAGUCCCUCUAUUUCCAUAAAUGUGACACUGUUUUGUUUCUAAAUACUUGACAUAUACAAGUUUGAGGGCAUUAUCCUAAACCCUUGCUAUGAUUGAUCCAUCUCCUCUACUUUGUUACUUGUGCUUAAUUGAGAUGUUGCUCAAGGGUAGUGUUUGGCCAGCAUAUAUAAAUGAUAUGGCCGCUUACUUCAAUAUGUGUGUUGACUCAAAACUAUCAAAAUAUCUAGAAAGAGAGUGAACUCACUUCAUAGAUUCUUUAAAUCUUCAAUGGUUAUGGUUUUUGCAUUACAGAUUCUUAAUCUCGGCUGAUUCCAGAUUCUUAAUCUCGGCUGAUUCCAGAUUCUUCCAAGUGCUAGCUAGCUCCAAAAGCAAAUUGUCUUCAUUUGGAAGAUGCAACAUUCUAUCAGAAUCCAUUCUCCUACUCUUUUUCUUGUACUGUAUGUCAUCCAUUGUUCAACCCUAUUGGUAAGUUCUUGUAGUGUGUCGCUCUGUUCAGAAGUGCAUUUUUAUUUUAGGAUUUGCUUCCUGUGUGGUACUGGAUGGCUGAGUAUUAAAACAAUUUGGUUACUAUCGGAAGCACUUUAAUUCUCUGGAAUUAAACUUGGACAAGCAUGCAUAUAUGUGUUCAAUUUUUCUGGAUUACGUGAUGGCAUUCUAUGAUUCUGUUUAACAACUUAAGUAUAUGUAUGAAUGUGCUCGAGUCCAUGAUUUAUUGUUCUGUUUAACAACUUAAGUAUAUGUAUGGAUGUGCUACAUUUAGAUCGACCUAUCAUAGAAAUCUGCUUAAUUUGAACUGGAAGUAGAUGGUACUAACAGUCAGUUUGUCUUCUAGUCCAUGUCUUUGAUGUACACCUGCUCUGCUGUUGUUAUUUAUUAAUAUACAGAUACAGCCGUAUGUAUAGUCACUAACACACUUGGACUUGCCAAAACAUUCAUGCAGGCUUCUGGUGGACGUGGUGGUGAUCCUCCUGUUAGGAGAUAGAGGAUGUGAGCUAAGCCGCUGUCUGGUCGAGGAAGAAAGUCGUUGUCUUUACUGGCGAAACAAAUUGCUGCGGCAGCCAUGCUUGUGAGCUUAUGAUGUGUCUCUAGUUUAGUUUGUUAGUUUGUGUGAACCGUUCUCUAUGAUGUAUGAUGUAUUGCUGCUGUUAGCGGUAAAUGUGAUGUAUGAUGAGUUGACUUGAUGGUUUGUUUGAGGUUGUCAUUGGCAUGGAUUAUCUCUUGUGAAGCUUACUGUUACUAAUACAUACACUUGCUGCUA